Osmia lignaria (orchard mason bee) is the source of this 2747-nucleotide non-coding RNA. Lineage: Eukaryota; Metazoa; Arthropoda; Insecta; Hymenoptera; Megachilidae. The record is from RefSeq and is a predicted model, not a curated record.
CCAACAAAGCUUCUUUGAAUCCAAGGACGAUGCUGGCCAUUCGAUUAUGUGCAGUUUCAGUAUUACCGAUCAUGAAAUCCCAUCCUGUGAAAAGCUUCCACGAGAACACAUACUCGUCCUCUUUCUCUGUGAUAUUACAUUUACAUGUACAAUGAUUUACUUGCGCAGUAUGGCGACAAAGCUAUAUAUGUAGACCACUAAAUUUGUAACAAAAUAUGCCAAAGGCAAUCUGUAGCCACUUUUAGAAUCUUGAUUGGUGUACCAGCCAUAGAAGAAUGGGGAAUAUUUUAAGACUCCUUCAAACUCCCACAAAGUUAACAAGUGCUUUGAUUUGAUUUUUUCUUCUCUGAGCAUGAUCUUUCUUUCUCCAGCUGCUAGAGGGUCUGCUGUGAGCAUCUAUAGUAAAAAGAAUAGUUAUAGAUGAGUUAUAGUGAUUCUCGAUCAGAGUAUUAUACCUCUGGAAUCGCUACAAAAGCUGUAAGAAUGGCUGCCAUAACGAGAUUGAUCCAGAACAACCAGCGAAGAAAAGUGAAAUAGGAGGCCACCGCGGAACCAAAAUGAGACUCGAUCUCCUUGAUUCGAAACUCCCAUGGGAUUAACCAUGUUUGAAGGUUUACCAUCUCCCUUCGACAGCUUCAAUUUGAUCCUUGCCUUUGUAACAAACAAUGAGAUACGCGCGAUGGCAUCUUUGGUACUUCGAGUUUGAGCCAGUCGUUCCUGAAGAACACCUUCGUGCCUCCUUACGUACGACUUCGCUUGUCGUACCAGUUUGAUCUUACGACGAAGAGGCCAUGGCUGUUGCUUCACUCCACCGAGGACUUCCUUGUGCAGCUUCAGCUUCUCGAAUAUCUGUUCCUGACUACCGCUUUCUUCCAUCGAGAUUGCGGUUCUACAGAUUUUUAACGCAUCAUCGAAGUACUAAGGAAUACUAUAAAAAAUUACUGGAAAUUGAUAUACUAACUCUCCAGAGCUGAUGGUGUAAAUAGACGACCUCCGACGAAGGGUAGCUUCAGCCUCCACGCUAAAAGGCGACGAGGGGCGCCGUUUCCGUCUACUUUGUCGUCGACUCGAACUCCGUCGCUGCAUAAUCGCGCAAGCUGACGCUGAGUAAUCGUCUUCAUCCGCCUCUUCCUCUGAAACACCAAAAGUCCAACAGUUGUUUCGGUCCAACUUGUAGAAUACUUGAUCAAACAACAAUCCAGGAUUAACAUUAAACAAACCAGCUAUGGAUAUUCUUUGCAUAUCGACGUCGUUCUUUUCGUUUGAAGCAACCUUUUGAUUAUCCUGCACGUUGUUGUCUUCAACAAUGGCAAAAGUAACUGACAGUCGGUCGACCGACGGCUGAGGGGAUGAAGGUUCCACCUAUAGGAAGAGGUGAAAGCAAGCAAUUAGGUGCAUGAAUUUCGCUCAUACAUCAUCCAUCGUCACGCCACAUGGGGUGUCGAAUGAGAAGGCUGGACUUAAUUUCAGUGGAUUUCCAAAUUGAUUCCAUGGAUGAUUUAGCAUACAGGAAGAAUAAGGGCACAAGUACCUACCUUGCUUUUGUAAGAAGAAACAAACUUGUAAAAUGAAAUGAAGAACUUGAGGAAACACAAUUAACAGCACAUUUGAUAAAGAUAAUAAUGAUUCUAUGAAUUAUAAGAGGACACUGAUAAUUAGAAUCUGAAGAGAUGAGGUGAUGAAUCAACGUCGAUGGAGUGGAAGGAACUGUCGAUAGGAAACAAGGUCCAAUGUUCAUCCCCUAGUAAAACCGCGCCUGUACAGAACUCGUUUUAAUGGUUGUUUCACUCGAUAUCAGGGACAUCGUGUUUUCGUGGACGACAGAAAUCUUCGAAAUCACGAAAGCUCGUAUAUCACAGGGUAAAUGGAUACCUCGGUUUACGAUCCGAUCGCUUACUCACCGUGUAACUUACACGACAGCCAAGCUUCUAUGUGACGAUUUCAUUUGGCCAAAGGUGGUAGUUUUAUUUCGUUAAUAUAAUAUAAAUAAUUAUUCUUUGCUGCAGAAUAGGCAUAAAUAAUUGCCUAAAAUAAUAGUGAGACUAUUAUAGGACAAUAUCUAAUUUUAAAGUAAUCAAUACAAGUUAAAAAGAAUUAGGAAGUAUGCAUCUACGGGAUUAAUGAUCUACAAAAAGACUUUGACACCAUGUCGGUGUAAAUGAUCCAGAAGCUCGAGGUCGUGUACGUGCCGCACCCUGAAGAGGCAUCGUGCCUCACGUAUACCUCGCAUUUUUCAUGUGACCCCACCUCACAUAAUCAUUUCUCUUCCAAACUCUUGCGUCGUGUUACACGCGAGUUUCCAAAGCUCACGAAAAUCGCUCUUCUACCCUCUCUUCAUAAUGUGCUGUCCAUCUAAAUGAAGCUUAUAACGUGAUUCGUAAAAAAAGUCACGAAACGUAACGCUAAUCGUUGUCGUUUAUUUUUAUAGCACACUUUGGAAAAAUGACUAACUUAUAGCGAAGAGGAGGAAUGUCCAGGAAUGUCAUUUCGUAAGAACAAUUUUUUAAUUAAUAUCGGGUGCGUAUGAAUAGUAAUUAAUAAAUUUUCUGUGAAGUAAUCGAACCCGAUAACAGUUUUCACCUCUCACGCGAUGCCUGGUUCUUGUCGAUACAUUUGCUAAUUAAAUAGGCUCGAGAUAAUCAUAAAUAAUUGUUGAUUACUUUCACUACAUCAUUUUUUUUUCUAGAUAACAAAUCACUUGUUUUAAUAGAAUAUUAAUCUGAUUAAAAAUCAAAUGUUACCUGCUU